GCUACCAAGUGUUACAGCAAUGCUAACAGUUAUCCAGCAAUGCUAAUGUAAUAGCUGGAGAUGUUUAUGACAAUAAAGGUUUAUGUGAACUAGGCCCCCAUGUGCUAACAACACCACUAUACUGAUGCUACCAAGUGUUACAGCAAUGCUAACAGUUAUCCAGCAAUGCUAAUGUAAUAGCUGGAGAUGUUUAUGACAAUAAAGGUUUAUGUGAACUAGGCCCCCAUGUGCUAACAACACCACUAUACUGAUGCUACCAAGUGUUACAGCAAUGCUAACAGUUAUCCAGCAAUGCUAAUGUGAUAGCUGGAGAUGUUUAUGACAAUAAAGGUUUAUGUGAACUGGGCAUGGUGCUAAGAUGGUUUGAUUUGGAUUUUGGGGGCGAGGGGGCAUAAGAGAGAAGAGUCUCCCUUAAAAUGUCCAUCUUACAAAGACCCCCUCCC
Brienomyrus brachyistius is the source of this 443-nucleotide long non-coding RNA. RefSeq lists it as uncharacterized. NCBI's taxonomy places the organism in Eukaryota, Metazoa, Chordata, Actinopteri, Osteoglossiformes, Mormyridae. The record is from RefSeq and is a predicted model, not a curated record. The transcript is spliced from 4 exons.